GAUGAACGCUAGCGGCAGGCCUAAUACAUGCAAGUCGAACGGGUGGUCGCAAGACCCCUGGUGGCGCACGGGUGCGUAACGCGUAACCAACCUGCUCCGAUCUGGGGGAUAGCCCGCCGAAAGGCGGAUUAAUACCGCAUAUACCCGCAGCCUGGCAUCAGGCAACGGGGAAAGAUUUAUUGGAUCGGGGUGGGGGUGCGUGACAUUAGCUAGUUGGCUGGGUAAGGGCCCGCCAAGGCGACGAUGUCUCGGGGAGCUGCGUGGGUGAUCCCCCACACUGGCAACGGGCUAGGGGCCAGCGGGAGACGGGAGGCGGCAGUAGGGAAUAUUGGGCAAUAGGCUAGAGCAGGAACCAGGCGUGCGGCGUGAAGGAUGAAGGCCUUCUGAGUUGUAAACGGCUUAUCGAAGGGAAGAAGAAGACCUUGCGGCGUACCCGGAGGUAACCAGAGGAAUAAGCACCGGCAACUUCCGG
This 472-nucleotide ribosomal RNA is filed under the name uncultured bacterium. Its description in RNAcentral is "partial 16S ribosomal RNA". It matches the Rfam family "Bacterial small subunit ribosomal RNA", at positions 28 to 506 of the family's 1533-position model. The record is from RNAcentral.